UUGUCCAGAUUAUUCCCGAAUAUCUCCAGUGAGGGAGACUCCACAGCCUCUUUGGGCAACCUGUUCCAGUGCUAAGGCACCCACGCAGUAAAGAAGUUAUUCCACAUGUUCAGGUAGAACUUCCUGGGUUUCAGUCUCUGC
Molecule: long non-coding RNA, 141 nt
Organism: Corvus hawaiiensis (hawaiian crow)
Lineage: Eukaryota; Metazoa; Chordata; Aves; Passeriformes; Corvidae
Exons: 3
Source: RefSeq, a predicted model, not a curated record